GAUGAAGAACGUAGCGAAAUGCGAUAAGUAAUGUGAAUUGCAGAAUUCAGUGAAUCAUCGAAUCCUUGAACGCACAUUGCGCCCGCCAGCAUUCUGGCGGGCAUGCCUGUUCGAGCGUCAUUUCAACCCUCGAGCCCCCCCGGGGGCCUCGGUGUUGGGGGACGGCACACCAGCCGCCCCCGAAAUGCAGUGGCGACCCCGCCGCAGCCUCCCCUGCGUAGUAGCACACACCUCGCACCGGAGCGCGGAGGCGGUCACGCCGUAAAACGCCCAACUUUCUUAGAGUUGACCUCGGAUCAGGUAGGAAUACCCGCUGAACUUAAGCAUAUCAAUAAGCGGAGGA
RNAcentral lists this unclassified non-coding RNA (343 nucleotides) under soil metagenome. RNAcentral describes it as "partial contains 5.8S ribosomal RNA, internal transcribed spacer 2, and large subunit ribosomal RNA". The stretch from base 1 to 120 matches the Rfam family "5.8S ribosomal RNA", at positions 35 to 154 of the family's 154-position model. The record is from RNAcentral.